This 3738-nucleotide ribosomal RNA is filed under the name Deltaproteobacteria bacterium CG_4_9_14_0_2_um_filter_42_21. Its description in RNAcentral is "bacterial LSU rRNA". It matches the Rfam family "Bacterial large subunit ribosomal RNA". The record is from RNAcentral. Lineage: Bacteria; Deltaproteobacteria.
AGCAAAGUUUUGGUCAAGUAAGGAAGGGCAUGCGGUGGAUGCCUUGGCGUUUGGAGGCGAUGAAGGACGUGUCUAGCUGCGAUAAGCUACGGGGAGCUGCUAAGGAAGCUUUGAGCCGUAGAUUUCCGAAUGGGGAAACCCACCUGCGGUCAUACGCAGGUAUCAUAUACUGAAUUCAUAGGUAUAUGAGGUGAACGGAGGGAACUGAAACAUCUAAGUACCUCCAGGAAAAGAAAUCAAUUGAGAUUCCCCAAGUAGUGGCGAGCGAACGGGGAGGAGCCUAAACCGGCUAGAGACUAGGGAUGAGAGAAACUUUCUCGUUUCUAGUCUCUAGCCGGAGUUGCGGGACUGCGUUAUGGGAUUGUCAAGGGAUAGAAAAAAAGUCUGGAAAGGCUUGCCGUAGAGCGUGAUAGCCGCGUAUUCGAAAUCCUGAAACACCCUAGCAGUAUCCCAAGUACCAUGGGACACGAGAAAUCUUGUGGGAAACUGGGUGGACCAUCAUCCAAGGCUAAAUACUACCAAACGACCGAUAGCGAACUAGUACCGUGAGGGAAAGGUGAAAAGCACCCCUGGUGGGGAGUGAAAUAGUACCUGAAACCGCAUGCCUACAAGCUGUGAGAGGGCUAUGUUCCGAUUCGUCGGAAAAUGCCUGAUCGCGUGCCUUUUGCAUAAUGAGUCAGCGAGUUACUGUCGUCAGCAAGGUUAAGUUGAAAAGACGGAGCCGAAGCGAAAGCGAGUCUGAAUAGGGCGAAUAAGUUGCCGGCAGUAGACCCGAAACCGGUGUGAUCUAUCCAUGGGCAGGUUGAAGCGUGGGUAAUACUACGUGGAGGACCGAACCGGUGAAUAGUGAAAAAUUCUCGGAUGACCUGUGGAUAGGGGUGAAAGGCCAAUCAAACCCGGAGAUAGCUGGUUCUCCCCGAAAUAUAUUGAGGUAUAGCCUCGCACGAAUACUCUCGGAGGUAGAGCACUGAAUGGGCUAGGGGCCUUACCCGGUUACCAAACCCAAUCAAACUCCGAAUUCCGAGAAGUAAUAUGCGGGAGUCAGUCCAUGGGUGCUAAGGUCCUUGGACGAGAGGGAAAGAGCCCAGACCGCCAGCUAAGGUCCCCAAAUGAUAACUAAGUGUGAAAGGAUGUGGAAGCGCACAGACAACCAGGAGGUUGGCUUAGAAGCAGCCAUCCUUUAAAGAAAGCGUAAUAGCUCACUGGUCGAGUGAAUCUGCGCCGAAAAUGUAACGGGGCUUAAGUUAUCUACCGACGCUGCGGAUUUGUACAUUAGUACAAGUGGUAGGGGAGCGUUCUGUAAGCCUGUGAAGGUCGAUCGUAAGAACGGCUGGAGGUAUCAGAAGUGAUUAUGCUGACAUAAGUAGCGAUAAAGCAUGUGAGAAACAUGCUCGCCGAAAACCUAAGGUUUCCUGGGGAAGGUUAAUCCGCCCAGGGUUAGUCGGGUCCUAAGACGAGGCCCAAGGGAGUAGUCGAUGGAUAACAGGUUAAUAUUCCUGUACCACUUAUAGCAUGUUAUGCGUAGGAGGGACGGAGCAAGACAAAUCAGCCACCUGUUGGAUGGUGGUUUAAACGUAUGGCUAGGAAGGCAGCCAGGCAAAUCCGGUUGUCAAUUCCAAGGCGUGAUGACGAGGGGAUUUCCCCGCAAAGUGAUUGAUUCUAGCUUCCUAGAAAAGCUUCGACGUGAUGUUAUAGGUGCCCGUACCCGAAACGGACACACGUAGGUAGGUUGAGAAAACCAAGGCGCUUGAGAGAACUCUUGUUAAGGAACUCUGCAAAUUGACACCGUAACUUCGGGAGAAGGUGUGCCAUUGAUGGUGAAGCUCGUACAGAGUGGAGCUAUUGAUGGUCGCAGAAACCAGGUGGCGACGACUGUUUAACAAAAACACAGGGCUCUGCUAAGUCGAAAGACGAUGUAUAGGGCCUGACGCCUGCCCGGUGCUGGAAGGUUAAGGAAAGAGGUUAGCCCUUGCGGCGAAGCUUUGAACCGAAGCCCCAGUAAACGGCGGCCGUAACUAUAAAUUAACCGUUGUAGUUACGAAAAUAAAUUUGGCUAUAUGCUGGAAACUCCGGUGUAUCCCACGCUACUCGUUGCGUUUGCAACAGUGACAAUGUGUUGGGUGCGGACAAUCAGCAGGAAAGGCUUUUCGCAUGAUUGACCUGAAUAAAAUUCCCGCUCGAAUAGGCUAUUACAUAGCUGGCUUUGUUGAUGGGGAAGGAAGCUUCAAUGCGGUAUUUAGACCGCGUGAAGAUUACAGUCAUUAUUGGAAAGUUUCUCUUUGUUUUAAUGUUUCCCAAAAGGACAAAGUUAUUUUGUCACUUCUUAAAAAACAUCUUCAAUGUGGAACUCUUCGCAGCAGAAUGGAUGGAGUUUGGUAUUACGAGGUAAACAACCUUAAUGCCGUUCUCAAUUAUAUUAUUCCAUUUUUUAGAAAGUUUAACUUUCUUUCGGCGAAGAAGAAACGUGAUUUUGAUAAGUUUUGUAAACUUGCAAAGUUGCUUGAAGCUGAAGCUCAGAAAACAAAAGAAGGUUUGGAAAAAAUAUUAGAGAUCAGAAGAAACAUGAACGAUGGUGGUAAACGAAAAUAUUCAGAGUCAGAAAUUAGAAGCAUGUGGAAAGAAUCCUCAGAGACUAUAUGCCAAACACAAACUUCAAAAGCCAGAAGUGAUUGUGAAGAUAGAGUCCGACCUUCAUAGCGAUAUGAAGAGCGAAGCAGAAAUGACUUCGCCUCUCUGGAAAUGAAGAGAAGUAACAAUGAUAACGAACGGUCCUAAGGUAGCGAAAUUCCUUGUCGGGUAAGUUCCGACCUGCACGAAUGGCGUAACGAUUGCCACACUGUCUCAACAAGGGCCUCAGCGAAAUUGAAUCACCAGCGCAGAUGCUGGUUACCCGCGACAGGACGGAAAGACCCUGUGCACCUUUACUACAACUUGGCAGUGAAAUUUGAAUUAAUUUGUGUAGGAUAGGUGGGAGGCUUUGAAGCCGGGGCGCUAGCUUCGGUGGAGCCAACCUUGAAAUACCACCCUGAUUAGUUUGGAUUUCUAACCUACUCCCGUUAUCCGGGAGAGGGACACUGUCUGGUGGGUAGUUUGACUGGGGCGGUUUCCUCCCAAAUUGUACCGGAGGAGCGCGAAGGUUCUCUCAGACUGAUUGGAAACCAGUCGUUGAGUGUAAGGGCAUAAGAGAGCUUAACUGCGAGACAAACAAGUCGAGCAGAUACGAAAGUAGGUCCUAGUGAUCCGGUGGUCCCGUAUGGAAGGGCCAUCGCUCAUCGGAUAAAAGGUACGCCGGGGAUAACAGGCUGAUCGCCGCCAAGAGUUCAUAUCGACGCGGCGGUUUGGCACCUCGAUGUCGGCUCAUCGCAUCCUGGGGCUGGAGCAGGUCCCAAGGGUUUGGCUGUUCGCCAAUUAAAGCGGUACGUGAGCUGGGUUCAGAACGUCGCGAGACAGUUCGGUCCCUAUCCGUCGUGGGCGUAGGAUACUUGAGGAGAGCUGUUCCUAGUACGAGAGGACCGGAAUGGACAUACCUCUGGUGCACCAGUUGUCGAGCCUAUCGGCACAGCUGGGUAGCUAUGUGUGGAACGGAUAACCGCUGAAAGCAUCUAAGCGGGAAGCCAACUUCAAGAUAAGGUAUCCCUUAAGACCACUUGAAGACUACAAGUUUGAUAGGCGGGGUGUGGAAGCGCAGUAAUGUGUGGAGCUAACCCGUACUAAUCGGUCGAUUGAUUUGACCUUAAA